UAAAGCGAUUCAGCGGGUUACGAUUGACGGAGCGAAGCGACGUCAAAGCGUAUACAAAGUCGAGUCGGUUUAAGGAUACGUUCGUUGGGUAGGGGAGCGUUCUGUAAGCCUGUGAAGGUGGCCUGUGAGGGUUGCUGGAGGUAUCAGAAGUGCGAAUGCUGACAUAAGUAACGAUAAAGCGGGUGAAAAGCCCGCUCGCCGGAAGACCAAGGGUUCCUGUCCAACGUUAAUCGGGGCAGGGUGAGUCGACCCCUAAGGCGAGGCCGAAAGGCGUAGUCGAUGGGAAACGGGUUAAUAUUCCCGUACUUGGUGUUACUGCGAAGGGGGGACGGAGAAGGCUAUGUUGGCCGGGCGACGGUUGUCCCGGUUUAAGCGUGUAGGUGUGUGUUCCAGGUAAAUCCGGUUCACUUUAACACUGAGGCGUGACGACGAGGCACUACGGUGCUGAAGCAACAAAUGCCCUGCUUCCAGGAAAAGCCUCUAAGCAUCAGGUAACAUCAAAUCGUACCCCAAACCGACACAGGUGGUCAGGUAGAGAAUACCAAGGCGCUUGAGAGAACUCGGGUGAAGGAACUAGGCAAAAUGGUGCCGUAACUUCGGGAGAAGGCACGCUGACACGUAGGUGAAGUGAUUUACUCAUGGAGCUGAAGUCAGUCGAAGAUACCAGCUGGCUGCAACUGUUUAUUAAAAACACAGCACUGUGCAAACACGAAAGUGGACGUAUACGGUGUGACGCCUGCCCGGUGCCGGAAGGUUAAUUGAUGGGGUCAGCGCAAGCGAAGCUCCUGAUCGAAGCCCCGGUAAACGGCGGCCGUAACUAUAACGGUCCUAAGGUAGCGAAAUUCCUUGUCGGGUAAGUUCCGACCUGCACGAAUGGCGUAAUGAUGGCCAGGCUGUCUCCACCCGAGACUCAGUGAAAUUGAACUCGCUGUGAAGAUGCAGUGUACCCGCGGCAAGACGGAAAGACCCCGUGAACCUUUACUAUAGCUUGACACUGAACAUUGAGCCUUGAUGUGUAGGAUAGGUGGGAGGCUUUGAAGUGUGGACGCCAGUCUGCAUGGAGCCGACCUUGAAAUACCACCCUUUAAUGUUU
RNAcentral lists this ribosomal RNA (1093 nucleotides) under Salmonella enterica subsp. enterica serovar Muenchen. RNAcentral's name for it is "partial 23S ribosomal RNA". It matches the Rfam family "Bacterial large subunit ribosomal RNA", at positions 1163 to 2215 of the family's 2925-position model. Lineage: Bacteria; Pseudomonadati; Pseudomonadota; Gammaproteobacteria; Enterobacterales; Enterobacteriaceae. The record is from RNAcentral.